Molecule: ribosomal RNA, 464 nt
Filed under: uncultured bacterium
Lineage: Bacteria
Description: partial 16S ribosomal RNA
Rfam family: Bacterial small subunit ribosomal RNA
Source: RNAcentral
CCUACGGGAGGCUGCAGUAGGGAAUCUUCGUCAAUGGGCGCAAGCCUGAACGAGCAAUGCCGCGUGAACGAGGAAGGUCUUCGGAUCGUAAAGUUCUGUUGAAGGGGAAAAAGAGCGGAGAGAGGAAAUGCUUUCUGAUUGAUAUUACCCUUCGAGGAAGUCACGGCUAACUACGUGCCAGCAGCCGCGGUAAUACGUAGGUGGCGAGCGUUAUCCGGAAUGAUUGGUCGUAAAGGGUGCGUAGGCGGCCUGCUAAGUCUGGAGUGAAAGGUACCGGCUCAACCGGUACAGGCUCUGGAAACUGGCGGGCUAGAGGGCAGGAGAGGGCGGUGGAACUCCAUGUGUAGCGGUAAAAUGCGUAGAUAUAUGGAAGAACACCAGUGGCGAAGGCGGCCGCCUGGCCUGUUACUGACGCUGAGGCACGAAAGCGUGGGGAGCAAAUAGGAUUAGAUACCCUUGUAGUC